Molecule: ribosomal RNA, 245 nt
Filed under: uncultured bacterium
Lineage: Bacteria
Description: partial 16S ribosomal RNA
Rfam family: Bacterial small subunit ribosomal RNA
Source: RNAcentral
UACGGAGGGUGCAAGCGUUGUUCGGAAUUACUGGGCGUAAAGGGCGUGUAGGCGGUGGUGCAAGUCAGAUGUGAAAUACUUCGGCUCAACCGGAGAACUGCAUCUGAAACUGCACCGCUAGAGUACAGAAGAGGGAAACGGAAUUCCCGGUGUAGAGGUGAAAUUCGUAGAUAUCGGGAGGAACACCAGUGGCGAAGGCGGUUUCCUGGUCUGAUACUGACGCUGAGGCGCGAAAGUAUGGGGAG